This 612-nucleotide ribosomal RNA is filed under the name Labeo rohita (rohu). Its description in RNAcentral is "partial 16S ribosomal RNA". It matches the Rfam family "Bacterial large subunit ribosomal RNA", at positions 1796 to 2608 of the family's 2925-position model. Lineage: Eukaryota; Metazoa; Chordata; Actinopteri; Cypriniformes; Cyprinidae. The record is from RNAcentral.
UCGCCUGUUUUACAAAAACAUCGCCUCCUGCAACACAACUAUGUAUAGGAGGUCCAGCCUGCCCAGUGACUACAAGUUCAACGGCCGCGGUAUUUUGACCGUGCAAAGGUAGCGCAAUCACUUGUCUUUUAAAUAGAGACCUGUAUGAAUGGCUAAACGAGGGCUUAACUGUCUCCCCUUUCCAGUCAGUGAAAUUGAUCUGCCCGUGCAGAAGCGGACAUAAAAAUACAAGACGAGAAGACCCUUUGGAGCUUAAGGUACAAAACUCAACCACGUCAAGCGACUCAAUAAAAAGCAAAAACUUUGUGGAAUAUGAGAUUUUACCUUCGGUUGGGGCGACCACGGAGGAAAACAAAGCCUCCAAGUGGAUUGGGACAAACCUCCUAAAACCAAGAGAGACAUCUCUAAGCCACAGAACAUCUGACCAAACAUGAUCCGGCUGCCCGAAGCCGAUCAACGAACCAAGUUACCCUAGGGAUAACAGCGCAAUCCUCUCCCAGAGUCCAUAUCGACGAGAGGGUUUACGACCUCGAUGUUGGAUCAGGACAUCCUAAUGGUGCAGCCGCUAUUAAGGGUUCGUUUGUUCAACGAUUAAAGUCCUACAUGAUCUGA